AGGGCUGUAGUUCAGUUGGGUAGAACGUCUGUCUGAUAAGCAGAAAAUCGGUGGUUCAAGUCCACUCAGCCCUACCA
This 77-nucleotide transfer RNA is filed under the name Nitrosarchaeum sp. RNAcentral's name for it is "tRNA-Ile". It matches the Rfam family "tRNA". From Rfam's summary of the family: Transfer RNA (tRNA) molecules are approximately 80 nucleotides in length. Their secondary structure includes four short double-helical elements and three loops (D, anti-codon, and T loops). The record is from RNAcentral. Lineage: Archaea; Thermoproteati; Nitrososphaerota; Nitrososphaeria; Nitrosopumilales; Nitrosopumilaceae.